CAUUCAAAUUGGUUUUAUUGCUGUCCUUGCUUUCUUUAAAUUUGAUCCCUUCACACUCAGCUGUAGUGAGCAUAGAUCUAGGCUCAGAAUGGAUGAAAGUAGCUGUUGUGAACCUAAAACCAGGGCAGUCCCCAAUUUCCAUUGCAAUCAAUGAGAUGUCAAAGAGGAAAUCCCCAGAGCCAAGAAAUGAUAUUCAAUUGAUGUUUUUUUCCACUGCUGUGAUAAUUGAUUAGUUGAGAUAAAACAAUAUUAUACUUCAAUAGAGCCAAUAAAUGAUAUUCAAUUUUUUUUUUUUUUUUUUUACUUUAGAUUUGUUCCCAUUUGUAAGAAUUAAACUUUUAGAGUAUUUGAAUACUUUGCUAUUAUAUUCUGGUAAAGGUAACAUAUAGUAUUGGGUUUAGAAAUCUGCUUUUGAAGCUGAAUUGGAUUCAGAUAUUUUUAUCUGUGUAAUUUACUUUUACAAGGUAAUUUAUCUUGUGGAGGUGCCGUUCAUGCUUUUCUGAAUAGCCAGCACUCAGGUUGGCUUGAUGGAAAUAACUAUUAACUUGUUAUCAAUCUGUUUUUGUUGGAGAUUUAAUUUUGACAUUAAUUUUGUAGUUUGAUGGCGAUUAGCAGUUUUGUAAGUGACAGUCUCGCCAUUGGAUGAAGUUAUGUAGUUGUGUAUUGUGUUUUUUAUGUAGUUAUCUUGCUAAUCUUAUUUAAGAAGUUAUAGUGAUAAGGUUGACAAAUCUAAUUUAUUCUCUUUGAUCACUUAAAACAUGAGUUGAGUAAUUUGCUGGCAUCUAAACUAAUUUGAUUAUUUUAAUUGUAAUUUGGGCUUCCCCAUGAUGAUUUUUAUCAUAUGUAAUAAACUUUUUAAUUAGCUCUAAUAGAUUAGCAAAAGUAAGGUGAUUAUUUUUAAAAUCUUAAGUGAUUAACUGAUUAUAUGAGCAAAUUCUUGAAAUUCUAUAUCAUACUUGCUGGACUUAAAUUUGAUCAUCAGAUCAAUUUGGAAUUUGACUGACUGCUCUAAUGAUGUUUCACUUCACUAAUUGUUAUUAUUCUCUCCUUCAAUAAUUGGUUUUUAGCAAUAGGAUUUUUUCAUAUGUUUUUGUUGUAAUUAUUAUUUAUAGCUUAAUAACUAGUUUUUUCUUUUAAGACAUCAAUUAAAAUAAAAAAAAUUUAAAAAAUAUGGGAAAAAAUAAUUUAAAAAAUAAAAAUAAAAAUUUAAGAUAAAAAAUGAAUAAUUUAAAAAAUUAUAUAUAUAUUUUUUAAUUAUUAUUUAUAGCUUAAUAACUAGUUUUUUCUUUUAAGACAUCAAUUAAAAUAAAAAAAAUUUAAAAAAUAUGGGAAAAAAUAAUUUAAAAAAUAAAAAUAAAAAUUUAAGAUAAAAAAUGAAUAAUUUAAAAAAAUAUAAAUAAUAAUUCAUAUAGGAAAACACAAAAUAAAAAUGUGGAAAAAAAAUUGUAAUUUGAAAACAUUAGCCAUCUUCUAGAGAUAGAAAAUAGUUUUCAAAUUAUUAUUACAAAUGAAUCUAGUUUCCUUUUUUUUUUUUUUUUUCUAAAUCUUCCAUCUCCAUGGAUAAUGGAAAAUGAAAAACAGAAAAGGGUUUUCUACAAAUCAACACCAUCAUAAAAGUUUUCCUUUUCUUCUUCACGCGCGAUCACCAAAGAAAAUUGUAAUCCAAAUCUCUCUUCUACACCAACAUUUUGAAUGCUGGACACGUAAACAAGUGCUUAAUUGUUUAUUCUUGUUGACUCUCCUGCCUGCUUUUGUAUUGAUGAUGCCAUAGCUUGCAGGAUGAAAAUCAUUCUCCCAUUUGCCUUUUCUGCAUGAACUAAAUGAGGCAACUUUUGCUGCUUCUGUAUAUAAUUUACUGUGCCACCUAGUUAAUUUUGGGAACUUCAUUGUUCAUUUAAAGUUCAUUUUAGCUGAUUAUGCUUGCAGUUUAAAUGUAUACUAGAUGUAAUUUCAGGCCUUUUUAACAUAGUUUUUCUUUUCUUUGCUUGUCUUGCAGAGAAGGAUUGUUUAUUUAUUAAAAUACACUGAUCAGGAUGAUGUCACUCCCAUUCAGAUUGAUUUUAUUGAUGUCCUUGCUUUCUUUAAAUUUAAUCCCUUCACACUCAGCUGUAGUGAGCAUAGAUCUAGGCACAGAUUGGAUGAAAGUAGCUGUUGGGAACCUAAAACCGGGGCAGUCCCCAUUUUCCAUUGCACUCAAUGAGAUGUCAAAGAGGAAGUCCCCAGGCUUAGUGGCAUUCCAUUCCGGUACCCGUCUUCUAGGUGAAGAAGCUGCUGGAAUCACUGCCCGUUACCCUGGCAAAGUCUAUUCCCAACUCCGUGACAUGAUUGGGAAAC
RNAcentral lists this long non-coding RNA (2334 nucleotides) under Jatropha curcas. Its description in RNAcentral is "long non-coding RNA (JCUR_LNC001576)". Lineage: Eukaryota; Viridiplantae; Streptophyta; Magnoliopsida; Malpighiales; Euphorbiaceae. The record is from RNAcentral.